This 77-nucleotide transfer RNA is filed under the name Victivallales bacterium. RNAcentral describes it as "tRNA-Val". It matches the Rfam family "tRNA". Rfam says of the family: Transfer RNA (tRNA) molecules are approximately 80 nucleotides in length. Their secondary structure includes four short double-helical elements and three loops (D, anti-codon, and T loops). Further hydrogen bonds mediate the characteristic L-shaped molecular structure. tRNAs have two regions of fundamental functional importance: the anti-codon, which is responsible for specific mRNA codon recognition, and the 3' end, to which the tRNAs corresponding amino acid is attached (by aminoacyl-tRNA synthetases). tRNAs cope with the degeneracy of the genetic code in two manners: having more than one tRNA (with a specific anti-codon) for a particular amino acid; and 'wobble' base-pairing, i.e. permitting non-standard base-pairing at the 3rd anti-codon position. The record is from RNAcentral. Lineage: Bacteria; Pseudomonadati; Lentisphaerota; Lentisphaeria; Victivallales. RNAcentral also lists the same sequence under 2 other names.
GGGCGAUUAGCUCAGUUGGCUAGAGCACUUGGUUUACACCCAAGUUGUCGGGGGUUCGAGUCCCUCAUCGCCCACCA